AAACCCACUCAUGGGAUUGUCUUCGCCCAAGGACCAGGGUAUACCUGGUGGGUAAUGCAGAAGGAUGGGGAUAUCAGGUGUGUGCCUCAAGGAGAUCUAACUUUGGGAGAAAACUAAUCUGUAAUCUAAGUUAUAUGUUGUAGGAAGACGCUGCAAGAUCAAUGACAGGUCAACUUUGCAAGGAACUGGGCAAGUGCAACAAGGACUUGAGCUAAGCUGGUGCUGGCGUCCAGACAUCCAGCUCCACCUGCCCUGAGUGACCACUUUGGCAGAUUAAGACUAAAUCAUCAACAGUUCUUAUGGACGUUUUCCAAGAGUGACUUAUAGAAUGUAAAGAUGUACCUACCUAUCAAUUCUUGUCUUAUUAAAU
This is a long non-coding RNA of Oxyura jamaicensis (ruddy duck), 370 nucleotides long. RefSeq lists it as uncharacterized. NCBI's taxonomy places the organism in Eukaryota, Metazoa, Chordata, Aves, Anseriformes, Anatidae. The record is from RefSeq and is a predicted model, not a curated record. The transcript is spliced from 3 exons.